CAGAAAACGAAGGAAAGGACUUUGCUUAAGGGGGCUGAAAACAAGCACCUGAAGGGAAGUGACAAGAAGCAGCGAGUAGAGGAAAUGGAAAGUAGUAAUCUUCAAAAGAGUUCCACCUUUAAAGCAUCGCCAUUACCAAGGUUCUAUCAGAAAGAUUCUCCUCCAAAAUCUGAGACUAAGAAGAUGCCAGGAAUAAAUUCAAAGUCUUAUUUGCCUGGCCAACAAAAUUUCCUGGAUCUAUGUCUAAGGCUGAAAACAAGAAGAUAGAAGACCAGAGUAAAGGGCCAUCGCAGACAAUAACCAACGGGACUAAGGAAACCAUAACGAAACUACUCAGAAGCACAAGAAAGGUUCUGCAUACUUCAAAGGUAACAACGAAAGUUAUUGUUUCAGUUGCCUGAAGACUGGCUUGUGGCCUGGAAAAUG
Long non-coding RNA from Theobroma umbraticum, 426 nucleotides. RefSeq lists it as uncharacterized. The record is from RefSeq and is a predicted model, not a curated record. NCBI's taxonomy places the organism in Eukaryota, Viridiplantae, Streptophyta, Magnoliopsida, Malvales, Malvaceae.